Molecule: long non-coding RNA, 1316 nt
Filed under: Zonotrichia albicollis (white-throated sparrow)
Lineage: Eukaryota; Metazoa; Chordata; Aves; Passeriformes; Passerellidae
Description: lncRNA (ENSZALG00000016655.1)
Source: RNAcentral
CCCACUUCUAGUUUUAAUUGAAAAAUUGUGGCUCAAAGCAGAAAUGAAAGAGUCAAAUUGUAGCCCAUUUACUAGAAAGAAGGUCAUGCUAGUUGUGAUGAUACAUUUUUAUUUAAAUACAAGAAAAACCUUUUGCUAAUUGCUUUCACAUAGCGCAGCUGUAAAUUUUUUUUUAUCUGUCUUGCUGCAGUUUGUGUCUCUGCAUUUCUUGUCUUGUUCUGAUUAUUGAAGAAUGUUUUUUCUUUACUUUUUGGAGCUCUACAGUGCUGGCAUUUAUCAAGUGAAGACACACAGCACAGCCUUGUAUAAAUAAUGGCACUGGGCCAAGUACAGCUGAGGUGGUUGCCAGCACAACUCCAUUGAAGUCAAAGGAAUUGCACCACGGGUGAGUUUGGCCCUAGGCUCAGGUCAUGGAGGACUUUAACAUGACAAUUUUCAGUAAUGCUUCAGCUGUUUGAGGUAGUUGAGUCUGGGUUUGCUUUUUGGUUGAGUACUGUAUUUUGUUUCAAAUAAAGGAGCUGAACUUCUGCUCAAUGGAGUGAAUAGGGCUUUUAUAAGUGGACUACUUCUGCAGUUUCUGUCCUCAAUCUGCUUUGCCUGACUUACGGAGAGGCAGCAGAGGUUUGGCGCCACAAAACAGCGUUGCUACCUUAAAGAUGACAUCAGCUCCCCUGGAUCCAGAGCUAUUGUGUGAAGGUGUUGUCUUCUGCCCCAGGUCGCCCUUUCCCUUCAAGAAUACAAAGGAAACAGGGCCAAAUGUGGAAAAGAAGGAAAUGAGCACAUUGUGUCUGAGUUAGCUUCCCAGGAUCAAAUGUCCCCCUGCAUGAACCUUUGCAUGUAUUUAUGAAAUAAUAUUUUUCUUUGACAGGGCACAAAUGAACUCAGCAGCUCAGUUAUUGCUAUGCCAGACCUUUAUAACAUGCUUUAUGUGCUUCUCAAUAUGAUUGUAUAUUUCCUGUCUCUAUACAAACCUCUCUAUGUGUAAGUGUCAAAACGUUAUUCUGCUGGUAUUGUGGCCAAUAUCAGCUGGAAUUUUGUCUUUUACUUUGAGGAAGAGGGGUCAAAUUCAUAUUUGUUACUGAGAAAUGUGCUUUCACGUAAUGUGAGACCCUGUGUAUCACUCAGUGUUCCUGUGAAAGAAGAAGCAUCUCCAAAAUCACACAUAGUCAAAGGCAAUAGAAAGACUCACUUUAUAAGGUUUGGUCUUUUCUACAUCCCACAGUGGAACUUUAUGUCUUUUCUGCUCUAAAAUCAUGUUACUAAAGGACACAUGUGAGACAGCAGGUCAAAUUGGAAGAAAUGCACCAUUUAGAUCU